GACGAACUUUGGCGGCGUGCUUAACACAUGCAAGUCGAACGAUGAUGCCCAGCUUGCUGGGUGGAUUAGUGGCGAACGGGUGAGUAACACGUGAGUAACCUGCCCCUGACUCUGGGAUAAGCGUUGGAAACGACGUCUAAUACUGGAUAUGAUCACUGGCCGCAUGGUCUGGUGGUGGAAAGAUUUUUUGGUUGGGGAUGGACUCGCGGCCUAUCAGCUUGUUGGUGAGGUAACGGCUCACCAAGGCGACGACGGGUAGCCGGCCUGAGAGGGUGACCGGCCACACUGGGACUGAGACACGGCCCAGACUCCUACGGGAGGCAGCAGUGGGGAAUAUUGCACAAUGGGCGAAAGCCUGAUGCAGCAACGCCGCGUGAGGGAUGACGGCCUUCGGGUUGUAAACCUCUUUUAGUAGGGAAGAAGCGAAAGUGACGGUACCUGCAGAAAAAGCACCGGCUAACUACGUGCCAGCAGCCGCGGUAAUACGUAGGGUGCAAGCGUUGUCCGGAAUUAUUGGGCGUAAAGAGCCCGUAGGCGGUUUGUCGCGUCUGCUGUGAAAUCCCGAGGCUCAACCUCGGGCUUGCAGUGGGUACGGGCAGACUAGAGUGCGGUAGGGGAGAUUGGAAUUCCUGGUGUAGCGGUGGAAUGCGCAGAUAUCAGGAGGAACACCGAUGGCGAAGGCAGAUCUCUGGGCCGUAACUGACGCUGAGGAGCGAAAGCAUGGGGAGCGAACAGGAUUAGAUACCCUGGUAGUCCAUGCCGUAAACGUUGGGCGCUAGAUGUAGGGACCUUUCCACGGUUUCUGUGUCGUAGCUAACGCAUUAAGCGCCCCGCCUGGGGAGUACGGCCGCAAGGCUAAAACUCAAAGGAAUUGACGGGGGCCCGCACAAGCGGCGGAGCAUGCGGAUUAAUUCGAUGCAACGCGAAGAACCUUACCAAGGCUUGACAUACACCGGAAACGGCCAGAGAUGGUCGCCCCCUUGUGGUCGGUGUACAGGUGGUGCAUGGUUGUCGUCAGCUCGUGUCGUGAGAUGUUGGGUUAAGUCCCGCAACGAGCGCAACCCUCGUUCUAUGUUGCCAGCGGGUUAUGCCGGGGACUCAUAGGAGACUGCCGGGGUCAACUCGGAGGAAGGUGGGGAUGACGUCAAAUCAUCAUGCCCCUUAUGUCUUGGGCUUCACGCAUGCUACAAUGGCCGGUACAAAGGGCUGCGAUACCGUAAGGUGGAGCGAAUCCCAAAAAGCCGGUCUCAGUUCGGAUUGAGGUCUGCAACUCGACCUCAUGAAGUCGGAGUCGCUAGUAAUCGCAGAUCAGCAACGCUGCGGUGAAUACGUUCCCGGGCCU
RNAcentral lists this ribosomal RNA (1342 nucleotides) under uncultured bacterium. RNAcentral's name for it is "bacterial SSU rRNA". It matches the Rfam family "Bacterial small subunit ribosomal RNA", at positions 28 to 1381 of the family's 1533-position model. The record is from RNAcentral.